UACAGAGACUGCAAGCGUUAUUCGGAUUCACUGGGCGUAAAGGGCGCGUAGGCGGCCUGUUAAGUCGGACGUGAAAUCCCUCGGCUCAACCGGGGAACUGCGUCCGAUACUGGCGGGCUUGAAUUCGGGAGAGGGAUGUGGAAUUCCAGGUGUAGCGGUGAAAUGCGUAGAUAUCUGGAGGAACACCGGUGGCGAAGGCGGCAUCCUGGACCGACAUUGACGCUGAGGCGCGAAAGCCAGGGGAGCAAACGGG
This 253-nucleotide ribosomal RNA is filed under the name uncultured bacterium. RNAcentral describes it as "partial 16S ribosomal RNA". It matches the Rfam family "Bacterial small subunit ribosomal RNA", at positions 524 to 776 of the family's 1533-position model. The record is from RNAcentral.